Molecule: ribosomal RNA, 255 nt
Filed under: uncultured Gardnerella sp.
Lineage: Bacteria; Bacillati; Actinomycetota; Actinomycetes; Bifidobacteriales; Bifidobacteriaceae
Description: partial 16S ribosomal RNA
Rfam family: Bacterial small subunit ribosomal RNA
Source: RNAcentral
AACGGGUGAGUAAUGCGUGACCAACCUGCCCCAUGCUCCAGAAUAGCUCUUGGAAACGGGUGGUAAUGCUGGAUGCUCCAACUUGACGCAUGUCUUGUUGGGAAAGUGUUUAGUGGCAUGGGAUGGGGUCGCGUCCUAUCAGCUUGUAGGCGGGGUAAUGGCCCACCUAGGCUUCGACGGGUAGCCGGCCUGAGAGGGCGGACGGCCACAUUGGGACUGAGAUACGGCCCAGACUCCUACGGGAGGCAGCAGUUC